GAUGAACGCUGGCGGCGUGCCUAAUACAUGCAAGUCGAGCGAACAGACGUGGCUCUUGCUCCUCUGACGUUACCGGCGGACGGGUGAGUAACACGUGGACAACCUACCUCUAAGACUUGGAUAACUGCGGGAAUCCGGAGUUCAUACCGGGUAAUAUCUUGCACAGGAUGGUUCAAUAGUAGAAGAAGCGUUUGCUGACACGUAUAGAUCGGUACGCGGCGCUUUAGCUAGUAGGUAAGGCAACGGCUUAGCACGGAAACGAUCCGUAGCCGACCGGCGAGGGUGAUCGGCCACACUGAAAGUGAGACACGGCCCAGACGCCUAGGGGAGGCAGCAGAAGGGCUUCUGGCGGAAUGGGCGGAAGACUGAGGGAGAAACGCCGCGCUAGUGAUGAAGGACGUCGGGUCGUAAAACACUGUUAUUAGAGAAGAACAAAUGUGUAAGUAACAAGGAACAAAUGGACGGUACCUAGUCAGAAAGCCCCGCUUACCUCGGU
Molecule: ribosomal RNA, 496 nt
Filed under: uncultured bacterium
Lineage: Bacteria
Description: partial 16S ribosomal RNA
Rfam family: Bacterial small subunit ribosomal RNA
Source: RNAcentral